GACGAACGCUGGCGGCGUGCCUAAUACAUGCAAGUUGAGCGCUGAAGGUUGGUCCUUGUACCAACUGGAUGAGCAGCGAACGGGUGAGUAACACGUGGGGAAUCUGCCUUUGAGCGGGGGACAACAUUUGGAAACGAAUGCUAAUACCGCAUAAAAACUUUAAACACAAGUUUUAAGUUUGAAAGAUGCAAUUGCAUCACUCAAAGAUGAUCCCGCGUUGUAUUAGCUAGUUGGUGAGGUAAAGGCUCACCAAGGCGAUGAUACAUAGCCGACCUGAGAGGGUGAUCGGCCACAUUGGGACUGAGACACGGCCCAAACUCCUGCGGGAGGCAGCAGUAGGGAAUCUUCGGAAAUGGACGAAAGUCUGACCGAGCAACGCCGCGUGAGUGAAGAAGGUUUUCGGAUCGUAAAACUCUGUUGGUAGAGAAGAACGUUGGUGAGAGUGGAAAGCUCAUCAAGUGACGGUAACUACCCAGAAAGGGACGGCUAACUACGUG
RNAcentral lists this ribosomal RNA (497 nucleotides) under uncultured bacterium. RNAcentral's name for it is "partial 16S ribosomal RNA". It matches the Rfam family "Bacterial small subunit ribosomal RNA", at positions 28 to 507 of the family's 1533-position model. The record is from RNAcentral.